RNAcentral lists this transfer RNA (77 nucleotides) under Candidatus Levybacteria bacterium RIFCSPLOWO2_12_FULL_37_14. RNAcentral describes it as "tRNA-Arg". It matches the Rfam family "tRNA". Rfam says of the family: Transfer RNA (tRNA) molecules are approximately 80 nucleotides in length. Their secondary structure includes four short double-helical elements and three loops (D, anti-codon, and T loops). Lineage: Bacteria; Candidatus Levyibacteriota. The record is from RNAcentral.
GCGUCCUUAGCUCAACUGGAUAGAGCGAGUGGCUUCGGACCACUAGGUUGCGGGUUCAACUCCUGCAGGACGCACUA